AACCGGCGCACGGGUGCGUAACGCGUAUGCAACCCUACCUUUCACAGGGGGAUAGCCCGAAGAAAUUUGGAUUAAUACCCCAUAAUAUUAUUGGAUGGCAUCAUUUGAUAAUUAAAACUGCGGUGGUGAAAGAUGGGCAUGCGUCCUAUUAGCUAGUUGGAGUGGUAACGGCACCCCAAGGCUACGAUAGGUAGGGGUCCUGAGAGGGAGAUCCCCCACACUGGUACUGAGACAGGGACCAGACUCCUACGGGAGGCAGCAGUGAGGAAUAUUGGUCAAUGGUCGGAAGACUGAACCAGCCAUGCCGCGUGCAGGAAGAAUGCCUUAUGGGUUGUAAACUGCUUUUAUAUGGGAAGAAUAAGGCGUACGUGUACGUUGAUGACGGUACCAUAUGAAUAAGCAUCGGCUAACUCCGUGCCAGCAGCCGCGGUAAUACGGAGGAUGCGAGCGUUAUUCGGAAUCAUUGGGUUUAAAGGGUCUGUAGGCGGGCUAUUAAGUCAGGGGUGAAAGGUUUCAGCUUAACUGAGAAAUUGCCUUUGAUACUGGUAGUCUUGAAUAUCUGUGAAGUUCUUGGAAUGUGUAAUGUAGCGGUGAAAUGCUUAGAUAUUACACAGAACACCGAUUGCGAAGGCAGGGGACUAACAGACAAUUGACGCUGAGAGACGAAAGCGUGGGGAGCGAACAGGAUUAGAUACCCUGGUAGUCCACGCUGUAAACGAUGGAUACUAGCUGUUUGGCGCAAGCUGAGUGGCUAACCGAAGUGAUAAGUAUNCCACNUGGGGAGUACGCACCCAGUGUGAAACUCAAA
RNAcentral lists this ribosomal RNA (808 nucleotides) under uncultured bacterium. RNAcentral's name for it is "bacterial SSU rRNA". It matches the Rfam family "Bacterial small subunit ribosomal RNA", at positions 93 to 905 of the family's 1533-position model. The record is from RNAcentral.